This 253-nucleotide ribosomal RNA is filed under the name uncultured bacterium. RNAcentral's name for it is "partial 16S ribosomal RNA". It matches the Rfam family "Bacterial small subunit ribosomal RNA", at positions 524 to 776 of the family's 1533-position model. The record is from RNAcentral.
UACGUAGGGUCCAAGCGUUGUCCGGAUUUAUUGGGCGUAAAGAGCGCGUAGGCGGUCCGGUAAGUCCGCUCUGAAAGUCCGGGGCUCAACCCCGGGAGGCGGGCGGAUACUGUCGGGCUAGAGUCCGGAAGAGGCGAGUGGAAUUCCUGGUGUAGCGGUGAAAUGCGCAGAUAUCAGGAGGAACACCGAUGGCGAAGGCAGCUCGCUGGGACGGUACUGACGCUGAGGCGCGAAAGCGUGGGGAGCAAACAGG